This 2011-nucleotide long non-coding RNA is filed under the name Helianthus annuus (common sunflower). Its description in RNAcentral is "hypothetical non coding rna". The record is from RNAcentral. Lineage: Eukaryota; Viridiplantae; Streptophyta; Magnoliopsida; Asterales; Asteraceae.
GUUUGGGGUUCUGGGCGUGUGAUCGGGAGCAGGAACCAAGGGAAGAGCCAAAACCCUAAUGACCAAAAUUCAUCAAAUUGAAAAGGAGAUCAAGGGAUCGAAUCUGUUUUGAUACUCUUUAAUCUAAGUGUGAGAUUGAUCAUAGGAGUCAUGUCAACAUGAGCACAAAUAAGGAAGUGCCACGGGUAGAAGGUAAGCACGGAAGCUAAGUGCAAAUUCGGACGCACGAGGAGUCAUGUCAACAUGAGCACAAAUAAGGAAGUGCCACGGAUAGAAGGUAAACACGGAAGCUAAGUGCAAAUUCGGACGCACGAGGUAAGUAAUUUCCCGGACUCCCUCUUUAGUAGUAAAGAGAUUAGUUGCAUGAUAAAUGUUAGAAGUUGUGUUGAAACGUGAAAUUGAUGAUGAUAUCAAGUAUUAGUAUUAAGUGAGUGAUUUUCCGGAAUCACUUCUUAGUUUAUUAAAGUAAGGUUAUGUGCUAGUUAUUGAAGUAUGGGUUUGGAGUUUAGGAAGGUUUGAGUAUGUAGAAGUGAAGGUUUCCGCUAAGUCGACCAAACGGGUCAAAAUAAGAGUUAACUCAUUACGGUAUGAUUUGCAUUAGUUAUGACGAAGGUAUUAUAAUCGGGUCAUGGAUAUAAUUUCUUACAAGUGCGCUAACCGAGAAACGGGGACAUGGGUUAAUGGUCAAAAGGCUUAGUCUUGAGUUUAAACAAAAGAGUUGUUUGAUAAAAACAUGAAUGGGUCGAAUAAUUGGUAAAUGAUAUUAUGCCAAAAGCAUAUAAGUUAAGAACUUCCUUAGUUCGGAUGUUAGAUUUUGAGUCCACUUGAUAGAGGACCAAAAUAUGAUCAUGUAGGAAGAAACGGGAGGUUAAACGGGUGAACGGUUUGAAAGUUACGGCCGUUUUCGUAAAAAGGACAAAGUUGGAAAAGCUGCAGAGCAGCCAAAUCGUAAGCUACGGCUCAGCUGUAGGCUACAGAACGUAGCUGCUGUUUGGAUCAGAACAGCCAAAUCGUAAGCUACGGCUCAGUUGUAGGCUACGAAACGUAGCUGCUGUUUGGACCAGAACAACUGAAUUGUAAGCUACGGCUGAGCCGUAGCUUACGACGGGCAGCUUUUGCAAAAUGUUGAUUGUUUUGUUAUUUGGCCUUCGGGCAUAAAUAGAUACGUUAUAAACUCCCCAUAACUAACGUUUUUGGAUUAUAAACGUGUCUGGGAGCGAGUAAGUAUGUAUGUUAAUAUGUAUAACACCUAUUUUAUGAGAGUUAUGAAUAUGACAUGUUAGUAUAAGUUUAUGUGCAUAAGAGAAAUAAACAAGUACUCGUAGGCAUGUAUGCGUGUAUGAAUGAAGCAUGUAUAUAGGUGUAUAUUAUUGCGUAAACGUAGGUAUGAAGGUAAGUAUGUAUGAAUGCAAGAUGCUAUGAAUGUAAGAUGCUAUGUAUGUAUGUAGGAAUGGUUUCAAGAUGUCUGGGUAUUGACGAUUACUAAUGAUGUGCUUUGAGUUUGGAAUGAAAUGCAGGUAUGAAAUCGUCGGGUUCAUGAGGAAUUGAAGCCGGACUUGGAUUAAGAGUAUUUAAGAGAAUGCUUGGAUAAUUCCAUGCUUACAUUAUGGAAUGCUAUGCGAAAUUCAAUUAUAUAGUAUAAUGUUGUAUAGUGAGAUAAUGACUAAUGGUUAAGUCGUAUAUGAUGUCCACAGGUAUCACACGGAUUUCCUCUACCACUAACGAAGAUAAGCGGGCGUAGAUCGAGUCAAAGAACAAGGAUUGUACGGAUAGGACGGCCACCUAGCUUGAAUUAUGUAACGCGCCUUGAAGUAUUAAUUUAAGUAUGAACGUUGAAAGAUGAUGCUUUUGAAGAAAAAAGUUUAGGGUGGACUUAGAAACACACCUUAGUAAUAAACAUUGUUGAAUUUUGUUUCAUGUUUGAUACAGUUUGAUCAUGUUUGGUUUUGUUUGAACAUUGUAUGACAUUUAGCAAUUUACGAAAUUUGGAUUAUUAACUAUUGCCACAAUU